RNAcentral lists this long non-coding RNA (209 nucleotides) under Elaeis guineensis (African oil palm). Its description in RNAcentral is "long non-coding RNA (EGUI_LNC023284)". Lineage: Eukaryota; Viridiplantae; Streptophyta; Magnoliopsida; Arecales; Arecaceae. The record is from RNAcentral.
ACUAAUACUUGAUAAAUAAAUUUAUUACGACUUUUGCAUAAGGUUAACCAUCAAUCGAAUUGAUGAUUAAGCCCUUGAACUAUUCUCAAUCGUUGACCACCCACAUGAUUAGUUAGAAACUUCUUUUGAGUGUGACUCCAUAGGUUAAAAUCUAAGUCAGUAGCAUAGAAAUAGAUUUUUGAAUCAAUCGAUGUAACUAUCUAGCAAUG